CACCAAAAAAAAAAAAAAAAAACUUUUUCGGUAAACACUAUUUCUCAUGCCUUUUGUUUUAUGAAUAAUAGUUGUAUCUCAAGCUAAAGUUGUUCUCCAUAGGAAGAGUUUUGAUUGAGAAACCCGAAAAUUAGAGGAAGACAAGGUCAUGGACAGUCAUAUAGAUGGUCUACUGGAGGGUUUAUUAAGAUAGAUCAGAGCUUUAGGAUGAAGGUUUUAAUUAGAGAAAUUAGAUUUUGGAAACGUGAGAGAAGUCAGGAUUGGAAGUAUAGUUUGAAUUUUCAGCAGAACCAGCAAUCAGAUUUAAGACAAUGAAAUAAUGAAAAAAAUAAUCCAAUUAAUUUACCUUGACUAGGAAAAUAUAUUUAUUUAUUUAUUAAUGGGCUAAACUGAUUAUACAACAAAGAACACAACAUAUGGCCUGCAUGAAGCAGACAUGCAUUCCAGCACAAAGUCUGGAAAUAUAUAAUGAUGACUCUCAGCCCAUCUAUUGUAAACUGCGGUCCUUAGCCACUAAGGCUGUGGCUAAUCUUGAUACACUGCUUUUGGCCAAAGAGUCAGCUAAGUCUCUGGCUAAUCUUGACCUCCAAUGGCAUGAGCAGUUCAACACAGAAUCCGAUGUCCUAACCUCAAGUAAUGAGCCAAUAUUCAUAGGGCCUUGCUCACCAAAUUUAUCCAAUUAAUGGACAAUUGAGAGUUCCCUCCAUCUCAAGCAUUGGGAAUUAAUUACCCUCGCAGUAUUGAGUCCUCCAGUGAUGGGGAGUACCUCACUCAA
This is a long non-coding RNA of Telopea speciosissima, 775 nucleotides long. RefSeq lists it as uncharacterized. The transcript has 3 exons. Lineage: Eukaryota; Viridiplantae; Streptophyta; Magnoliopsida; Proteales; Proteaceae. The record is from RefSeq and is a predicted model, not a curated record.